GUGGAGUGUGUGAGCCUCUUUCUAUUCUAAAGAUUUAUCGGGGGGGGUUUUACUUCUUAAGCUAGUUGCAUUUAUUUUUUGAAUGGGCUUGUGGGCACUAUUGGAGGAUUGGGAGAAAUGGUGGUCUGUGUCUCUGCACUUGAUGGUCUGUCAGGAGGGGGUAGCUGGUGAAGAGCGUUUCAAAUAUCAACUUACAGAUUACACAGGAUUCUGAAUCUCUGCACAGCAUAACUAGGCAUGACCACUUAAAGGGAGGACAUGGAGAGAAAACAGAACAGGUGGAGACCACACGACUUUCUCACAGCAGAAAAACAACUAUGACAGCAGGGAUCUCUUCUGAACCAAAGAUGCUGAGAAGGGCCUCCUCUGAAGUUCUCAAUGCAUAUGCAGGCUGAUAUAUGGAGACCUCCUUCUGCCUGUGACUACUAAUAGUUAUUGUUAUCAAAUGAGAUCUGAGAAGUCCUUGACUGAGGAUCCACCACACUUAUGGAACACUUUGUCUGAGUGCCGCCAAGAAAAUUCAUCAGCAUCCAGAUUUAUGAAAGAUUUGCACUUUUUUAACCAUGACAUUUAGGUGUACAUUUGGUGGUACAAUCUCAGUGAAAGUAAGUGUUCUCAUAAGCCGUUUCAAAUCCCCUAAUGUGUGGCUUAUUAGUAUGAGAACAAAGUAAUAACUUCCUCCCUCCCUCAAAAUACUUUGAUAUUUGCCUAUUGACAGCUUAAAUUGUGAUUGGUUGUUAGUCAGAAGAGGGAAGGAUUCCAUAUUGUUGAUCAUAUUUCCUACAGCAAUCCACCAGAAUAAGUAAAUGUAAAAUCAAAAACAUCUUCCUGAAGUAUUAAGCAUUUUAAACCUUGGAUUCCUUUCCCCCACUCUAAAGCACAUAUUAAUAAAAAUUGU
Long non-coding RNA from Rhineura floridana, 898 nucleotides. RefSeq lists it as uncharacterized. NCBI's taxonomy places the organism in Eukaryota, Metazoa, Chordata, Lepidosauria, Squamata, Rhineuridae. The record is from RefSeq and is a predicted model, not a curated record. The transcript is spliced from 4 exons.